RNA transcript from Dioscorea cayenensis subsp. rotundata (Guinea yam), 1068 nucleotides. RefSeq lists it as uncharacterized. The record is from RefSeq and is a predicted model, not a curated record. The transcript is spliced from 5 exons. NCBI's taxonomy places the organism in Eukaryota, Viridiplantae, Streptophyta, Magnoliopsida, Dioscoreales, Dioscoreaceae.
AAGAAGAUUUCUGACUUAAAAAAAAGGAAUUAAGAAAACAGAAGAUCAGAGCCGUCCAUUUUUGAAGCGGCAAUCUCAAGGAUAAAUUGAUGGCUGUGAUGACUCCAUCUACCUAUCUCCCAGUUCCCAGUCUUCAACCACACAACAAUAACCAGAAGAAAAUUGCCUCCAUUUUCUCACAACAUGAUCUCCACUGGAUCCCUCUUGCAAUCUCCAUGCAAAACCCUAAUCUUUUCCAUUGGCAAUGGCAAUGGCCAUGGCUUCCUAGCAUGCACGCCAUUCUCUACAAGGCUUAGGACCAGCAGCAGCUUCUCCCAGACUAGCAGCAGUAGAAGGCUUCGAUCUCAUGGAGUUGUGUGUGGGCUCUUGCCUGUGGAUCCAUGGGCACCAUCCAUUGAUUCACAGAGCAUAGCCUCCCAGCUCUUUGCUUUCUCUCUCUUCCCAUACCUUGGCUUCCUCUACUUCAUCACCAAGUCCAAGACAACCCCUGGACUAACCCUCUUUGGAUUCUACUUCCUCCUCGCCUUUGUUGGUGCUACAAUACCGGCCGGGAUUUAUGCAAAAGUGCAUUAUGGAACAUCCCUGUCUAAUGUUGAUUGGUUGCACGGUGGUGCUGAAUCUUUGUUGACUCUUACCAACCUGUUCAUUGUACUGGGAUUGAGGAACGCUUUGAGGAAGAUCAAGAAUGAGAAGAAGAUAGCAUCUGAAGUUGUUUCAGAGGUUCAAGAGCAGCAGACUUCUGUUUAGUCCCUUUCAGGUUAAGUAUGAAGGGAGGGUGGUGGUCAAAGAAGAAGAUGCUUGGAACUGACCAAAAAUCCACAGGCCCUCUUGACACGAAAUUGAGUUAGUGAUUGAUGACGUUGAGGGAACAACGACAAGUGUGGGAUCCAAUGGAAGCCUUCAAGUUUGAUGCAAUCCUUUUCAAGGGCUUUCCAUUCCUUUAUUAUUUUGACUGAUUCCACUAAUGAAAGUUAAGGGUCUCAUGUAUCAUUGCAGGGAUUUGGUAGUCAUUUGGUUAAUUUCUUAGAAAUUCAUGUUUUUUUUGCUUUAUUAAGUUUAUUUUUUCCA